GCAGGCUGCAGGCUCCUGUCCCACACAGAUUCCCUGCCCUGAGCUUCUGAAGACGGGACUGGCCUCAGCCCAUAAAACGCUGUCUGUUCUAUGAUCAAAUAGACCAAAACCUCCAGUUAUAAAGUGCCAACAGGAAUAGGGAAGGAGGAGAGGCAUUUGCAAUAGACUCUGAUAGAGUUUGCCCUGGGAUGGAGGAAGAGAGCGGAGAAUGGAGAGAGGAAGGGUGGAGACACACAGCCUGGUCCAAUCCUGCAGUUGCAUCUGGGAGGUUACAAUCUGCUCCUUGAACCAUUGCCAGCCGCGAUGGGACCAGAGAUGCCGAGAUGACGGGAUGGACGGGAUGGGAUUCUGCAUUCUCAGACUUCCUCCUUCCUCCUCCCCAGGACCCCCGCUCUGAAAAAUCAUCCUUGGCAUCACGUACAGGACGCAAGGAGAGGACCACCCAUCGUGUGACGCAAGACAGACCACCCAUCAUCACCUGAUGCAGGGACAGAAUCAUGACGCAGAGAAAGAGAAUUACUUGUAAACCUAUACGUGGAUGGGAAGGUCAUCAAGACCCGAGGCUACUCCAGGGACCAGUCUUCCCUCGUUGUGAGAGUGGGGCUGGACCACAUCUGGAGGACGAGAGGUCCCCUCCAUCCCAGCCAUCCCAGAUGGGUGAGCAAGGCCCUCCUAGGUCACCUGGCACUGCCGAGCCAAGCCCCAAACAGAAGAACCGACCGGCCCAUUGCAGAAUCAUGAGGGGCAACAGGUAGGUGUCCUCUGAGUCACUGAAUUUUGGAGCGGUUCGUUGUGCAGCAGAACCAAACUGCUGUCCCAUCCCUUUGCAUCCUCCACAUUGGAAUCACCCUCCUUUUUUGAAGCCCCAUAGUAUUUUGUCAGUAUCUUUUAUUGGGCAUUUGUCACUUUCUACGUUUUCUCAUCAUCAUUUAUGGAAACAGCAUCAGUGAGAGAAUAAAUUACUUGAGGGCUGAAUGCAUGCUUGAUUCACUUUUGUAUUUC
This is a non-coding RNA of Kogia breviceps (pygmy sperm whale), 1002 nucleotides long. The record is from RefSeq and is a predicted model, not a curated record. Lineage: Eukaryota; Metazoa; Chordata; Mammalia; Artiodactyla; Physeteridae.